RNAcentral lists this long non-coding RNA (743 nucleotides) under Rattus norvegicus (Norway rat). Its description in RNAcentral is "long non-coding RNA NONRATT028861". The record is from RNAcentral. Lineage: Eukaryota; Metazoa; Chordata; Mammalia; Rodentia; Muridae.
CCGAGUACAUGACUAGAUUUUACAGAGUGAUAGUAACGUUGAAAUUGUUAGAUUAUGGGUAAUUGUUGUUGUAAUACACAAGUUGCACCUGAACAUACAACUGUCCUACCUUCCAGUACCGAAGGAAAAUAUUCCAAGUCCUCAGUGAAGGUGGAUCAUAGAAGAGUCCAAAAGAUAAGAAGAGAGAGUGGAAUAGUGGGGUCAUCCGUGUCCUCAGCACUAUCACAUCAACCGCUGCAGGCAGGCACAGUAGCAAGAGAGAGUGGAAAAGUGAGGUCAUCCUUGUCCUCGGCACUAUCAUGUCAACCCCUGCAGGCAGGAACAGUGUUACCUAUCCGUGCAGACAGUGCAAGUUCAGACGAGGACCAGGAAAAAUCACCACUAAGGCUAGUUAAGGUAUCAUCUAAGAAAAGCAAACAUGGGUCCAACAUUUUAAGAACUAUGCAGCGGAAGGGGACCAUUUUCCUUAUUGAUCCUGAAGUGUGUCAAUUUAUAGAUGAAAUUCGCAAAGACAAAAUGAAAAAUGAAAUGGAAGUGGUACCUUUACGUAUAGACACUACAACUUUGCCACACAAUGAGGAAAAAGCACCGGUGAAGCCAGUAGAGGUGUCAUCUAAAAAACGCAGAUGUGUUUCUGCUAUCUUGAAGAAAAUUUCUCGAAAGAGAGCUGUCGUCCCCACAGACAUCGAAAGGCCUCAAGUCCUUCCUGGCACUUCAAGAGAAACGUCUCACAUUCUAACAGA